UUCCAACCAGCUUUUUGAGGAAUAUUCUCAGCAUCUUGGCUAUCCCUAUCCUUUCGUGCCUCUAAACCAAACGGGUGGCAUCCCUCAGAAAAUUGGCUAUCCCUUUCCAACCAACCAAGGGAUAACGGAUGAACCAAACGCCACCUAAAUGGAUAAGGGAGAGUAGCCAGGAAGCGAUGCCCCAGCCGCAUGAUCCCCAAUUCACACGACCAGCACAUGCCCCCACGGCCGGUCGGGCGAGGAGCUUCCGCUGCGCUCUUCCUCGUCGGAGGAGCCGCCGGGGAGGCUGGUGCCAGGCGUGACGCCAUUGGAGAGGCUGCUCGCGAACCCGAGCACGGUCGGGCUCCAUGUGCCAGCGCGAGCGGAGUGCGUGCUUGAAGACGAGGGCACCGCGCGCCAGCAGUAUCUCGCUGGCGCCUGAAGGUGUCGGUGCCGACCGCCGCAGGCGCGCGUGGAGACGGGCUGGGCACCGCCGAGACGUGAGCAUUCGUGGCCAUUGGUCGCCGCUUCCGUCGGCCGCCGGAAGUUCAGUCGCGCAGGGGCCGAGCCGCGCGCAGCCGCCGCGGAUGCCUUAGGCGGUCGUGCCACAGGGCCGCGGGAAGCCGCGCUAGUGGAGCCGCUGCGUCGCGGCCGGUCCGCUGAUGCGUCAUGUGCUCGAGGCCUCCUUGCUGGUGCAUGGCUGAGGGCAGGCGACUGGCGAGAGCCCAAGGUACUAAUCAUGAUAGCGAGCAUGUAUAUACAAUAUUAUAUAUAGGAAAAGAAGCACCUUAAUCAUGCAGCAAUUAGAUCAAUUCUUUGGUGUCUGCGUGAUGGGCACAGUUAGAAUGCUGUCCAGGGUAAUUGAUUUGCCCAUCGGACUUGUUCUUGUUGAUCUUGUGCCGUCACCGAUUAUUUCUUCUCCUUCUAUCCAAAAAUUUCUUCCGGUUCCUGUUUCCGCGGAGAUCAAUCGAUCUGGACAUGCUCACAAGCGAUUCCUUAUGCAUAAUUGAGAAUCAGUUAUUAGAUCACAGGAAGACAGAAUUAUAUAGAUCUCCUGAUCGAUGAAGUUCUCCUAUGUAGGGUGGAUUUGGAUGGGAUAUCAACCCGGCCGGGUUUAACCGAAGACGCAUAUAAGGUAGGUCGGGAUCCAACCCCGACCGGGGUCAAAAGCACGUGGAUUAGGCCAAAACCCCGCCGAUCCCGGCGGGGGCGGGGAUUAAACGAACAAAGCCUCUGAUUUUUGCGUGGGUUGGGGGCGGCGCCGGCGAGGGUUUCCAGAACAAACGAGGUGAUGCAAGAGGGUUGAAUAGUUGUGGUGGAGCCGGUGCCCCGCUGACCGUCGGGCUCAGGCGCUCAGCCGUCGACCCCCAACCUGGACCCAUUAUCUGAUCCGUGGCCCAGACGAAAAAAGUCACGUCCUGGUCCACGACCCACUACGACGCGCGCUAGAGUCCUUCACGCCGUUGCGCUUCGGGCCCAGUCCUUCGCAACUGUUUCGUACCGUAUUCCCCGGCGCCAACGAUUUACCACAUCUCGAUUCUGACACGGCAGCUGGAUUUGUUCACAUCCCCAGCAUGGAACGGACGAGCAGGAUUUCGGGCUCAGCUGAGCCCGAGCACCAAAUCGCCGCGUCCUUCCAAUUUAGCUACCUACUGUACAUUUCAUAUGAUUUAACCUAGUUUUUCGUUCAUGUAAUUGUCUUUAGUUUCUAUAAGUUGUAAAUAUAUCCACUGCAUCUAUGCCCUAAUAUUACCAUUAUAAAAUUCUCAGAUACAUCAAUAGAAUAGAUAGGCAAAAUAUUAUUUUGUUCAGUUGUUAUAUAAAAGUUGGAAAACUUUUAUUCAUUGCUUUAUUAUAGGGCCCAUAUAGUAAACAGAUAAAGAGUGUGCCACCUCUGACUCGACUGGUAAUAGUAUGAGAAUAUAAAGAACGGCUUGCAACAUUUUAUUUUAUUUUAUUGACAAAGGAGAAACACCCACGGGCUUAAAGUAAGCGAACUCAAAAUCACAAUUCAUAAGUUACAGUGUUACACCUCGCUACAGAAGCAAAACUGGCUAGCUACCAUGUUUUUCCAGAUUAUAACCAUCAAAUAGAACGCCAGCCCAACACAC
This 2090-nucleotide long non-coding RNA is filed under the name Triticum aestivum (bread wheat). Its description in RNAcentral is "long non-coding RNA (TAES_LNC011336)". Lineage: Eukaryota; Viridiplantae; Streptophyta; Magnoliopsida; Poales; Poaceae. The record is from RNAcentral.